This 563-nucleotide ribosomal RNA is filed under the name uncultured bacterium. Its description in RNAcentral is "partial 16S ribosomal RNA". It matches the Rfam family "Bacterial small subunit ribosomal RNA", at positions 355 to 906 of the family's 1533-position model. The record is from RNAcentral.
UGGGGAAUCUUCCGCAAUGGACGAAAGUCUGACGGAGCAACGCCGCGUGAGUGAAGAAGGUUUUCGGAUCGUAAAACUCUGUCUUUUGGGGCGAACGUGAGUAUGGUGAACAAUCAUAGUCAGUGACGGUACCAAAGGAGGAAGCCACGGCUAACUACGUGCCAGCAGCCGCGGUAAUACGUAGGUGGCAAGCGUUGUCCGGAAUUAUUGGGCGUAAAGAGCGCGUAGGCGGGAUAGUCAGUCUGUUGUAAAGUGCGGGGCUCAACCCCGUGAUCGCAAUGGAAACAGCUAUUCUUGAGUGCAGGAGAGGAAAGUGGAAUUCCCAGUGUAGCGGUGAAAUGCGUAGAUAUUGGGAGGAACACCAGUGGCGAAGGCGACUUUCUGGACUGUGUCUGACGCUGAGGCGCGAAAGCCAGGGGAGCGAACGGGAUUAGAUACCCCGGUAGUCCUGGCCGUAAACGAUGGGUACUAGGUGUGGGGGAUGAUCGUNCCACCUUCCGUGCCGGAGUUAACGCAAUAAGUACCCCGCCUGGGGAGUACGGUCGCAAGACUGAAACUCAAAU